RNAcentral lists this ribosomal RNA (497 nucleotides) under uncultured bacterium. RNAcentral describes it as "partial 16S ribosomal RNA". It matches the Rfam family "Bacterial small subunit ribosomal RNA", at positions 28 to 507 of the family's 1533-position model. The record is from RNAcentral.
GAUGAACGCUGGCGGCGUGCCUAAUACAUGCAAGUCGAGCGAACAGAUGAGGAGCUUGCUCCUCUGACGUUAGCGGCGGACGGGUGAGUAACACGUGGAUAACCUACCUAUAAGACUGGGAUAACUUCGGGAAACCGGAGCUAAUACCGGAUAAUAUAUUGAACCGCAUGGUUCAAUAGUGAAAGACGGUUUUGCUGUCACUUAUAGAUGGAUCCGCGCCGCAUUAGCUAGUUGGUAAGGUAACGGCUUACCAAGGCAACGAUGCGUAGCCGACCUGAGAGGGUGAUCGGCCACACGGGAACUGAGACAGGGUCCAGACUCCUACGGGAGGCAGCAGUAGGGAAUGUUCCGCAAUGGGCGAAAGCCUGACGGAGCAACGCCGCGUGAGUGAUGAAGGUCUUCGGAUCGUAAAACUCUGUUAUUAGGGAAGAACAAAUGUGUAAGUAACUAUGCACGUAUUGACGGUACCUAAUCAGAAAGCCACGGCUAACUACGUG